This 70-nucleotide transfer RNA is filed under the name Lutra lutra (Eurasian river otter). RNAcentral's name for it is "tRNA-Gly". Lineage: Eukaryota; Metazoa; Chordata; Mammalia; Carnivora; Mustelidae. The record is from RNAcentral.
AUUUCUCUAGUAUUAAUAAGUACAGUUGACUUCCAAUCAACCAGUUCUGGUAGAAAUCCAGAGAGAAAUA